CGCACAUUGCGCCCUUUGGUAUUCCUUAGGGCAUGCCUGUUCGAGCGUCAUUUCAAACCUCAAGCCCCGCUUGGUGUUGGGCGUUUGUCCCCUUAUGGGGGACUCGCCUCAAAUACAUUGGCAGCCGGUACGUUGGCUUCGAGCGCAGCAGAAACGCGCCUGGCGUCUGACGGUACCUGGCUCUCCAGGAAGCCUCCAUCUAAGUUUGACCUCGGAUCAGGUAGGGAUACCCGCUGAACUUAA
This 243-nucleotide unclassified non-coding RNA is filed under the name Massarinaceae sp. RNAcentral describes it as "partial contains 5.8S ribosomal RNA, internal transcribed spacer 2, and large subunit ribosomal RNA". Lineage: Eukaryota; Fungi; Ascomycota; Dothideomycetes; Pleosporales; Massarinaceae. The record is from RNAcentral.